GGGCCCAUAGCUCAGUUGGUUAGAGCAGGGGACUCAUAAUCCCUUGGUCCCAGGUUCGAGUCCUGGUGGGCCCA
RNAcentral lists this transfer RNA (74 nucleotides) under Methylophilales bacterium HTCC2181. It matches the Rfam family "tRNA". From Rfam's summary of the family: Transfer RNA (tRNA) molecules are approximately 80 nucleotides in length. RNAcentral also lists the same sequence under 1 other name. Lineage: Bacteria; Pseudomonadati; Pseudomonadota; Betaproteobacteria; Nitrosomonadales. The record is from Rfam by way of RNAcentral.